CUCCAAGGUAUAAGCGAUUCUCCUGCCUCAGCCUCCCGACUAGCUGGGAUUACAGGCAUUCACCACCAAGCCCGUCCAAUUUUGUAUUUUUAGUAGAGACGGGAUGUCCCCAUGUUGGUCAGGUUGGUCUCGAGCUCCCGACCUCAGGUGAUCGCCCGCCUCGACCUCCCAAAGUGCUGGGAUUACAGGCGUGAACCACCGUGCCCGGCCUUGCCCGCAUGUGUUUUGAAUUUUGCUGCCCGGAAUUCACUGCGAGGACUGGGAUCACCCGUCGCCCCGCCCUGGUCUACGGAAAAUGAAAUGUGUUUACUGAUACAGAAACGGAAUAACGGCGCUGUGGGCUGGGGAGGGCCGAGCUGCCUUCAGGCUUCUGGUCUCCAGCUGCAGGGCACUCACACCUGCCCGCUAUGAAAAUGCAGACCCGCGGGGCAGGAAUUCCGAGUCGGGGCUGGAGCGCGAUCUGGAAUCCGGCUCUCUUGAAACAGCACCGCGGAGGAUUCGGAUCCGGGCUCUGACCGGCAGACCCAGGCUGCACGAUGGAUGAAUAACGUACUCAGACACCGAUAUUCAGUGAAAGAGUGCACCAGAGGGCCAGGCCACUCACAGAAAGGGUUGUGGCAGCUGCGUGCCCUGACUAUCUGGCCCUGUGGGCCUUUAUUCAGCACAGAUUUAAUGACAAAGGCUUUGAGUCAACACACCUGUGGAUAAUUAAUCUGGUCGCAGUCCCCCGGAGAGAGCAGUCCUACAAAUGAUCAAAGCAAAGAGAUUCACAGUGUGAGCGAGAUUCAACGUGAGGGGCUUCCUCCACUGUGAGCUUUGAAAAUGGAGGGGCCAUGUGGCAAAGGAUAUGGCGGGCUCCAGGAAUUGAGAACAGCUCCACCCCACCUCCACCUGACAGCUGCCCAGGAACAAGGACUACAAUCCCACAACUGCCUGAAACUGAAUUCUGCCACCAAGCUCUGUAUAAGCUUGAAGGAGGACCCCAGCCUCAAGAUGAGGACACAGCUUCGUGAAAUCCUGAACUGAGAAUCAUUCACACCAGGCCUGGAUUUCUCAUUAAGGAAAUGUAGAGAAAUAAAUGGGUGCUGUGUAGAGCCAGUGAGUUAGUGGUAAUACGU
This 1118-nucleotide long non-coding RNA is filed under the name Pan troglodytes (chimpanzee). Its description in RNAcentral is "long non-coding RNA NONPTRT015090". The record is from RNAcentral. Lineage: Eukaryota; Metazoa; Chordata; Mammalia; Primates; Hominidae.